RNAcentral lists this ribosomal RNA (497 nucleotides) under uncultured bacterium. RNAcentral describes it as "partial 16S ribosomal RNA". It matches the Rfam family "Bacterial small subunit ribosomal RNA", at positions 28 to 507 of the family's 1533-position model. The record is from RNAcentral.
GAUGAACGCUGGCGGCGUGCCUAAUACAUGCAAGUCGAGCGAACAGACGAGGAGCUUGCUCCUCUGACGUUAGCGGCGGACGGGUGAGUAACACGUGGAUAACCUACCUCUAAGAAUGGGAUAAAUUCGGGAAACCGGAGCUAAUACCGGAUAAUUUAUUGAACCGCAAGGUUCAAUAGUGAAAGUAGGUUUUGCUGUCACUAAUAGAUGGAUCCGCCCCGCAUUAGCUAGUUGGUAAGGUAACGGCUUACCAAGGCCACGAUGCGUAGCCGCCCUGAGAGGGAGAACAGCCACACUGGACCUGAGACACGGUCCAGACUCCUACGGAAGGCAGCAGUAGGCAAUCUUCCGCAAUGGGCGAAGGCCUGACGGAGCAACGCCGCGUGAGUGAUGAAGGUCUUCGGAUCGUAAAACUCUGUUAUUAGCGAAGAACAAAUGUGUAAGUAACUAUGCACGUCUUGACGGUACCUAAUCAGACAGCCACGGCUAACUACCUG